GUGCCUGUAGCUCAGCUGGAUAGAGCGUCUGACUACGGAUCAGAAGGCCGGGGGUUCGAAUCCCUUCAGGCACG
Molecule: transfer RNA, 74 nt
Filed under: Desulfocucumis palustris
Lineage: Bacteria; Bacillati; Bacillota; Clostridia; Eubacteriales; Desulfocucumaceae
Rfam family: tRNA
About the family: Transfer RNA (tRNA) molecules are approximately 80 nucleotides in length. Their secondary structure includes four short double-helical elements and three loops (D, anti-codon, and T loops). Further hydrogen bonds mediate the characteristic L-shaped molecular structure. tRNAs have two regions of fundamental functional importance: the anti-codon, which is responsible for specific mRNA codon recognition, and the 3' end, to which the tRNAs corresponding amino acid is attached (by aminoacyl-tRNA synthetases). tRNAs cope with the degeneracy of the genetic code in two manners: having more than one tRNA (with a specific anti-codon) for a particular amino acid; and 'wobble' base-pairing, i.e. permitting non-standard base-pairing at the 3rd anti-codon position.
Source: Rfam by way of RNAcentral